AAUAGAUACCCAGGUAGUCCAUGCCGUAAACGUUGGGCACUAGGUGUGGGGGACAUUCCACGUUUUCCGCGCCGUAGCUAACGCAUUAAGUGCCCCGCCUGGGGAGUACGGCCGCAAGGCUAAAACUCAAAGGAAUUGACGGGGGCCCGCACAAGCGGCGGAGCAUGCGGAUUAAUUCGAUGCAACGCGAAGAACCUUACCAAGGCUUGACAUGUGCCAGACCGCCUCAGAGAUGGGGUUUCCCUUCGGGGCUGGUUCACAGGUGGUGCAUGGUUGUCGUCAGCUCGUGUCGUGAGAUGUUGGGUUAAGUCCCGCAACGAGCGCAACCCUCGUUCCAUGUUGCCAGCACGUAGUGGUGGGGACUCGAUGGGAGACUGCCGGGGUCAACUCGGAGGAAGGUGGGGAUGACGUCAAAUCAUCAUGCCCCUUAUGUCUUGGGCUUCACGCAUGCUACAAUGGCCGGUACAAUGGGUUGCGAUACGUGUGAGGUGGAGCUAAUCCCGUAAAAGCCGGUCUCAGUUCGGAUUGGGGUCUGCAACUCCG
Molecule: ribosomal RNA, 543 nt
Filed under: uncultured bacterium
Lineage: Bacteria
Description: bacterial SSU rRNA
Rfam family: Bacterial small subunit ribosomal RNA
Source: RNAcentral